This is a long non-coding RNA of Lepisosteus oculatus (spotted gar), 608 nucleotides long. RefSeq lists it as uncharacterized. The record is from RefSeq and is a predicted model, not a curated record. Lineage: Eukaryota; Metazoa; Chordata; Actinopteri; Semionotiformes; Lepisosteidae.
AGCUAAAGGAGUGUUAAAAAAAAUAAACUAAAAGUUCACUUUCCACUUUAAGGUUGUAGGUCGAUGCAUAAAAGUGGGUGUCCUUGAGCACAUUCACAACUUCUAGGACUCUUCAGUGGGCUUAAUGGAAGAUUUCACGUUCAGUGACAAUUGGUAUAAUUGUAACAUCAGAGGGUCUGCUCUUCGGGUUGGGUUCCGGACUGAGGGGCAUUCUGUGAGGAGUUUGCAUGUUCAUUCCGUGGGUUGUUCCGGGAUACUCCGGUUUUCUUUCACUUUCAAGAUUGGAGAUGCUGGUUAAAUCUGGUUUUCUCCACCCCGCGCCUGAUUCAGACACUAUUAUUCGGGAUAUCUGAAGCGGCUAAGCGGCUCACAGCUCCACCAGUAAGAGUUCACGCCUGCGCAUGCUGACGCAGCUCCCUGUUUGGACUGCUGGGGAGAGAUCAGGAGAGAGAGAAGGGGGGAUGGGGGAGAUUUGACCUUUUUCCCCCCCAGGGGCAGUACCUGAUACCCCCUGCCCAGGACAGUGAAGGAUCCUGAGGUGUGCGAGGAAGAUCGAAGAGGCACAAAAGACAGGCGUAGUACUCAUUUGUGUGUUAGCAUGUGCACAG